This 376-nucleotide ribosomal RNA is filed under the name uncultured bacterium. RNAcentral's name for it is "bacterial SSU rRNA". It matches the Rfam family "Bacterial small subunit ribosomal RNA", at positions 521 to 896 of the family's 1533-position model. The record is from RNAcentral.
UAACACGGGGGUGGCAAGCGUUGUCCGGAAUUACUAGGCGUAAAGGGCAAGUAGGCGGAAUGGUAAGUCAGAUGUUAAAGGCACCGGCUCAACCGGUGUACGGCAUUUGAUACUGUCAUUCUAGAGUAAGGUGGGGGAAGACGGAAUUCCUGGUGUAGCGGUGGAAUGCGGAGAUAUCAGGAGGAACACCAGCGGCGAAGGCGGUCUUCUAUACCAUUACUGACGCUAAAUUGCGAAGGUGUGGGUAUCAAACAGGAUUAGAUACCCUGGUAGUCCACACAGUAAACGAUAUGCACUAGAUGUUGGGAGAGUUAAUCUUUCAGUGUCGUAGUUAACGCGUUAAGUGCAUCGCCUGGGGAGUACGAUCGCAAGGUUA